Molecule: long non-coding RNA, 502 nt
Filed under: Rattus norvegicus (Norway rat)
Lineage: Eukaryota; Metazoa; Chordata; Mammalia; Rodentia; Muridae
Description: long non-coding RNA NONRATT031225
Source: RNAcentral
UCGUGAGCUGGGCGUAACCUCAGACCUUAGGAGGCUGAGUUUGGGGACGGUACGGACUACACAGCCAAGCUCCAGGCCAACCCAUUCGUCAAGACCCUGUAUCCAAAAGCAGAUGCUGGCCAAUGUGUUCACAAAGCUUCAGAAAGGGAAGCCUGCCCCCUGUGGCACACACAGGAGUUUCCGAGAGAUGAGAGGUAAGAUGUUCCUGAAAGGAUGUAGAAUGAUGGCAAGGCGCAGUGCCUGUGAGCCUGGAGAAAAGGACCAUGUGGCCAGAGCACAAGGCACAGAAUGGGCUCCUAACAGGCAAGCGUCAGAACAGAAGCCAUUGUUAAGUUUGGAGUCCUUUCUACAUAACAAAAUACUCAGAAGCCAUAGGCAAAAAGCAGUGUAUUUGACCAAAGCAGAGAGAAUGAUUCCAUGAGAACCAACUAAAGUUAUUUUAAUGCAUUUGUCAAAGAGGUAAUCUCAGAAUUUUUGGAUCUAUCAGAAAAAAAAAAAAAAA